CCUACGGGAGGCUGCAGUGGGGAAUAUUGGACAAUGGAGGCAAGCCUGAACCAGCGACGCCGCGUGAGGGAAGAAGGCUUUCUGUAUGUAAAGCUCUAUCAGCAGGGAGGAAAAUCACGGUACCUGACUAAGAAUCCCCGGCUAACUCCGUGCCAGCAGCCGCGGCAAUACGGAGGGGGCAGGCGUUAUCCGGAUUUACUGGGUUUAAAGGGUGCGUAGACGGUGGAGCAAGUCUGAGGUGAAAGGUCGGGGCUCAACCCCGAGACUGCAUGGGAAAAUGGUGGACUGGAGUACAGGUGAGGUAGGCGGAAUGUCUAGUGUAGCGGUGAAAUGCUUAGAUAUUAUGCGGAACACCAGUGGCGAAGGCGGCUUACUAGACUGUAACUGACGUUGAGGCUCGAAAGCGUGGGUAGCAAACAGGAUUAGAUACCCGUGUAGUC
This 440-nucleotide ribosomal RNA is filed under the name uncultured bacterium. RNAcentral's name for it is "partial 16S ribosomal RNA". It matches the Rfam family "Bacterial small subunit ribosomal RNA", at positions 338 to 795 of the family's 1533-position model. The record is from RNAcentral.